GGCAGCAGUGGGGAAUAUUGGACAAUGGGGGAAACCCUGAUCCAGCGAUGCCGCGUGGGUGAAGAAGGCCUGCGGGUUGUAAAGCCCUUUCAGUGGGGAAGAAAAACGGGGUGUGAACAGCGCUUCGUUUUGACGUUACCCACAGAAGAAGCACCGGCUAACUCCGUGCCAGCAGCCGCGGUAAUACGGAGGGUGCGAGCGUUAAUCGGAAUUACUGGGCGUAAAGGGCGCGUAGGCGGUUGGGUAAGUCGGGUGUGAAAGCCCUGGGCUUAACCUGGGAAUGGCAUUCGAGACUACCUAUCUAGAGUCUGGUAGAGGGAAGUGGAAUUUCCGGUGUAGCGGUGAAAUGUGUAGAUAUCGGAAGGAACACCAGUGGCGAAGGCGACUUCCUGGACCAAGACUGACGCUGAGGCGCGAAAGCGUGGGGAUCAAACAGGAUUAGAUACCCUGGUAGUCCACGCCCUAAACGAGGAGAACUGGCCGUUGGGGGAGUUAAAUCC
This 500-nucleotide ribosomal RNA is filed under the name uncultured Gammaproteobacteria bacterium. Its description in RNAcentral is "bacterial SSU rRNA". It matches the Rfam family "Bacterial small subunit ribosomal RNA", at positions 347 to 838 of the family's 1533-position model. The record is from RNAcentral. Lineage: Bacteria; Pseudomonadati; Pseudomonadota; Gammaproteobacteria.